CCUCCUGAUUUAUGCGCAAAGGGGCUGGGGAGGGAGUUUUGGCCAAGCGUGCACGGUGGAACCCCAGCACCUCCCCCCGUGACGGCAAGAGAAACUCCAUCUGGAGAGCGCUGGGGUCGAGCCACACUUCAGUCACCCCCGCUCUGCCCCCUCGUCCUCAGCUCGGGGGGGUUUCUGAAGGCGCCUCCCUGGACCGCGCACGGGCCUCUUCUCCCCCCCCCCCCGCCCCCCCGGGCCCUGCCGACCUGCCUGGGGCAGCAGCAGCAGAGGUUCCAGAACGAAGUGCCCUCUGGCAGGGAGGGACCCCCUUCACACCAUCCCGAACCUGGCGUGGAUGUCAGUAACGGCGGCAGACCCCAGGCCAGGUCAGCGCCGCGGGGGACACGCACGGCCCCGGGAUCCCGCCUUCUCGGCAAGCAGCACGGAAGCAGCAGCAUUUGGAGCAAAUCCCCUGGACAGAAACUUGCCCCCGGUCCAACAUCACCACUGGAAACCCAAACGGUUCGAGUCUGGCAACUCAUCAGACCGACGUUUGUGAAGAAACACGUAGCGGGUGGCCACAGUCAUGGAAGGGCUCCCAGUGCCCCGUGUGCCUCUAGAGCAUCUCAGAAUUCCCGGCAAGAGAGGCUUCUCUGCACGCGAAGCUGUUUUCAAAGGAGAGAAGGGGUUUACCAACUGCUAAGUAAUUCUUGCGGUAAAAAAAAAAACAAAAACAAAAAGAAACCCCAAAUUCACCCAGAGACCCAGGUAGAGGUUAAUGAUUUUUUUCCCGAUAAAACACAUGAGCACAGACGUCAGGAUGAAGUAUUUCCGAGGGCGCCCCUGCUCCCUGUGACUCAGUCGCGGCUGGCACCGGCCACAGACGGGAGCGGGGGGGACCCGCGGGGCAGAUUGCGACGGGGAGGGAGUCGGCGGGCCAGGCGGAGCUCGGCCGCGCCCCGGGGACGGCCGGGGUCCCCAGCUGCCCAGGCCGCGGUUCCGGCCGGCACCCGGCGUGAGAAGCAGCCACGUCCCCACCCCCACGUGAGGGAACGCCACAGGGGGAUGUCGGGAAGCCCCUCGGACUCCGGAGCGCCCGCCUGCGGUCCUCCCGGCUGCGCACCGUUUCCACCGCCGGCGCCCCCUAGCGGAGGGUCUCACGUUGGCUGCGGCGCAAAGCAGCGCCCGGUGCAGAUUGUAGCCAAACGGUGGUAUUUAUUUUUUCGACGCGUUCUACAACGAGCUCUCCCUUUGCUGCAUUUCUCAGAGUUGUCUCCCGUCAACGUUCUGGAAGGAAGGCCUGACCUCCUCCGCACAACUGCCUCCCCGCCGUCCCCCCGCCCCUCCGCCCCCAGCCCCUGCUCUCUCUCGAGUCGGCUCUCCAUCGGGCUCACCCCGCUUCCCGGCCUCCCGAGGGCGGGGGAGGCAGGAAUUUUAAUUUUUUUAAAAUUUUCGCCGCGUGAGGGAAUGGAGAAAAAUCUACGGCUGGUGCGGGAACGUUAG
Molecule: long non-coding RNA, 1482 nt
Filed under: Felis catus (domestic cat)
Lineage: Eukaryota; Metazoa; Chordata; Mammalia; Carnivora; Felidae
Description: lncRNA (ENSFCAG00000051456.1)
Source: RNAcentral